UUUCCGUAGGUGAACCUGCGGAAGGAUCAUUACUGAGUCUGGGAUACCCUUCACCGGGACCCGACCUCUUCAACCCAGUGUCAAAACUACACCUUGGAUGUUGCUUCGGUGGGACGGUCGCUAACCCGACCGCCGGGGGGUGCUUUUUUGGUUGUCACGACCGGAAAUCCCUCUGGAGCGUUUGCCCGCCGAUGGCCUCUUAACCAAAAACUCUUGCCAACAAAACAUGAUGUCUAAAAACAAGUAUACCCAUUUAAUGGAUAAACGAAACUUUCAACAACGGAUCUCUUGGUUCUGGCAUCGAUGAAGAACGCAGC
RNAcentral lists this unclassified non-coding RNA (317 nucleotides) under uncultured fungus. RNAcentral describes it as "sequence contains ITS1, 5.8S rRNA gene". The stretch from base 269 to 317 matches the Rfam family "5.8S ribosomal RNA", at positions 1 to 49 of the family's 154-position model. The record is from RNAcentral. Lineage: Eukaryota; Fungi.